AUGACAGAACGCCGCGACUACGACAUGGACACGGCGGACUCUGAAAGAGCGAGAGAUGUCUUUCGCCUCCUGAGGCUGUGGCAGCGCAUUUCCCAUGCCUCGGAUAAACGGACUUUAUCUAUUGGAAUUAAUGCCAUUGAGGCAAUUUUUCUGGAUAACCCUCACCUGCGCCAGCUACCCAUAGCUUCGGAGUUUGCCCAUAAUCUGGCCCAAGCAAAAGAGGCACUCCAAGGCACGGAGCUGGCCCAACCCAUCACGUCACCCUCAACCACAUCCCAGCAAAAGGAUUUCUCCACACUGUCGCAGCAGAUGAAUUCUUCCAUGUCGCUGCAGCAGGGGGUGGUUGUUUCCUUGCCGCGGAAUCUCUUCCCCUCCACAUCCCGAUCUGACCCACAUUCGCCUGCCUCCUUCCCGGCUGCAAUGUGGUCAGAGGAUAAAGAGCAGGUCACCAGUUCUCCAUCAUCACCGACCUCCUCUGUUAUCUCUGCUCCCUCUUCCAGGAGAAAGCGGCGUCCACGCCACCGGCGCACAUCACCACGGCUGGAACCCAGUACUUCCUUUGAGAAACCAGUCGUGGUGAGUAAAAAAGACCUUUUUUGUGCUCCGUCCGAGCUGGGAAAGAAAAAGACUAUUCAUUCUGAGGCCAUCUAUUCCAGUUCUGUGGACUUUAAAGACUGUUUGCCUUGUGCUCCUUCCAAGCACGGAUUAACAAUAACUGCUCUACCUUUUUCUGUUUCGGACAUUGAGACAAAACUCAAGGACUCUAAGCUCUCAGUUUGUGAAUCUAGACUGACCCCCAACAAAAUUAAACUGUGUGUUUCCCAGGCCUCUGAAGCUACGUUUUGUGUUCCUCAGCUGACUCAUUCCAAGACUUUGCAUGAUGUUGUUUCUGUUUGUGCAACUCGAUCUGUUCAUUUGGAGACUGAUACACUUUCUGAAAGGACUGUUAAUAUGGACAAUAUACAAACUGUCUUCUCCGUUCCUGAGUCUGGUAGGGAUAAUUGUUUUGUUGCUGAGUUUACCUUGGGUUAUGGGAGUUCUGUUUCAGGCCUGGAUUGUGUUAUGCCCCACUCAGCUAGUAAUUCCAGGGCAGACUCUGAGUUUUGUGAGCUAACUUCAAAGACCCUACCAUCUGUGUGUGCCAAGACUGUUUUUGACGAUGCUAAACAUUUCCGCUCAGAGACUAAAACUCUUCCCGAGGUCUACCCAGAGGCUGGGCCUGUGACCUCAGCUGCAUCUGGACCAUCUGAGGUUUUGGAACCAAUGCAGCCUGUUCAACCAUCAUCUGUCUCCGCUGGGAGCUCAGGAGAGUCAUCCCAGCCACCUGCCUCUGCUGGGAGCUCAGCUGAGCCAUCUCAGCCAUAUGCAGCAGUCUCUGCUGGGUGCUUAGCAGAGCCAUUUCAGUCUCCUGUCUUACUUGGAACCUCAGACGAGCUUAUCCAGCCAGCUACGGACUCCAUUUUGCUGUCUGUGCCUGAAAAGUGCCCUAAGCACACUCUGUGCACUGCGCAGCCCCAGCCGCUGCAACCUGAGCUGGCUGUGUGCCCUGAGCAGCUCCAGCUAGCUUUGUCGUUACCAGAGGUCUCCGCAUCAUCUGGUUCUGCUCCACCAGAGGUUUCCACACCGGCUGGCUCCGCUCCAGUUUCCGCUGGAGGCUCAGGAGAGCCCAUCCAGCAGUUCCUUGUGUCAACUGGGGGCUCUGGAGAGUCUGUCCAGCCUUUGCCUGUCUCCGCUAGUGGCUCUGGAGAGUCCGUCCAGCCUUUGCCAGUCUCUGCUGGGGGUUCAGGAGAGUCUGUCCAGGCUUUGUCUGUCCCUGCUGGGGGCUCAGGAGAGUCCGUCCAGCUGCCUGCUGCUUCCACACAGCCACCAGCUCAACCACCAGCUCAGCCACCUGCACCUUCCAUGCCAUCUUCUGGCCCAAACACAUCUCCACCAGAGGUUAUCACGCUGUCUGGUCCAUCUCCACCAGAGGUCGUUGGGCCGUCUGAUCCAGCAACGUCUCUGCCAGAGGUUAUCACGCUGUCUGGUCCAUCUCCACCAGAGGUCGUUGGGCCGUCUGAUCCAGCAACGUCUCCGCCAGAGGUUGCCGCACCGUCUGGUCCUGCCUUGUCUGGUCCUGCCUUGUCUGGUCCUGCCUCAUUUGGUCCUGCUCAGCCCAAGCCAUCUGGAUCUGCUUGA
This is a long non-coding RNA of Oreochromis niloticus (Nile tilapia), 2178 nucleotides long. The record is from Ensembl. Lineage: Eukaryota; Metazoa; Chordata; Actinopteri; Cichliformes; Cichlidae.